This 96-nucleotide transfer RNA is filed under the name Streptomyces sp. ADI92-24. RNAcentral describes it as "tRNA-Pro". Lineage: Bacteria; Bacillati; Actinomycetota; Actinomycetes; Kitasatosporales; Streptomycetaceae. The record is from RNAcentral.
GCCGAGGAGGCCGUGGUGACCUACGGCGCACCGUUCGGGCUGGUGCCCGAGGUGCGCGAGUCGGGGCCGGCCGGUGAUCUCCACGUCGCCGUGGCG